GCGCAGUGAGGCUGCCGGCGACAGAGUGAAAAUGACAAGCAGGCCCGGAGUGCACAGGCAGGCAGGUGUGAGCGUGGAGAUGCCACACGUGUGAAUGAAAACAGCACGUGGGAAGACACGUGUGAGCGACACAGGUGGGGACACCAGCUGAGAUGAGAAAGUGGAAAUGACUCCCUGGGUGGAGGGGUAUUGACGGACCCGGAGGGCACGCAGAGGCCGGGGAGCAUGACCAAGACCAUCCACCCAUUCCCAACGCAAGCAUUCCUCGGGAAGAACGCACCGCCUUUGGCCUGGCCUGGGGGCCGGCACCUUAACAUGGAAGAGGCAGCAGAGAGCAGCACAGAACCCUCGCGCCUAGCAGCGGAGACCCUGUCCUGACCCUAGCAUCACCACUGACUCACGGGCCACCUGCAAGGCCCUCCCCUUCUGUUUCACAAUCUGUAAAGGAGUCUGUCUUAGAUUGACGUUUCCCAGCCUGGUUUGUCUCUCUGGAUCCAUGGUCAAAUAUCCAUUCUAUGCCUGGAUGGUAAGUCACAUCACAGUGCCCCUGUGACCUGGUUGGGGGGGGAACCCGGUUAACUUUGUUUCCCAAACUUGUUAGACCAGCAGGCCAUUCCUUCCGGCUUGACAGAUCAUGCUUUGGGAAAUGUUGGAC
Molecule: long non-coding RNA, 655 nt
Filed under: Homo sapiens (human)
Lineage: Eukaryota; Metazoa; Chordata; Mammalia; Primates; Hominidae
Description: HSALNT0381804
Source: RNAcentral